This 253-nucleotide ribosomal RNA is filed under the name uncultured bacterium. RNAcentral's name for it is "partial 16S ribosomal RNA". It matches the Rfam family "Bacterial small subunit ribosomal RNA", at positions 524 to 776 of the family's 1533-position model. The record is from RNAcentral.
UACGUAGGGUCCGAGCGUUGUCCGGAAUUAUUGGGCGUAAAGAGCUCGUAGGCGGUUUGUUACGUCUGCUGUGAAAUCCCGAGGCUCAACCUCGGGCCUGCAGUGGGUACGGGCAGACUAGAGUGCGGUAGGGGAGACUGGAAUUCCUGGUGUAGCGGUGAAAUGCGCAGAUAUCAGGAGGAACACCGGUGGCGAAGGCGGGUCUCUGGGCCGUAACUGACGCUGAGGAGCGAAAGCAUGGGGAGCGAACAGG